Molecule: ribosomal RNA, 873 nt
Filed under: uncultured bacterium
Lineage: Bacteria
Description: bacterial SSU rRNA
Rfam family: Bacterial small subunit ribosomal RNA
Source: RNAcentral
CAUGCAAGUCGAGGGGAAACGACAUCGAAAGCUUGCUUUUGAUGGGCGUCGACCGGCGCACGGGUGAGUAACGCGUAUCCAACCUGCCCACCACUUGGGGAUAACCUUGCGAAAGUAAGACUAAUACCCAAUGACGUCUCUAGAAGACAUCUGAAGGAGAUUAAAGAUUUAUCGGUGAUGGAUGGGGAUGCGUCUGAUUAGCUUGUUGGCGGGGUAACGGCCCACCAAGGCGACGAUCAGUAGGGGUUCUGAGAGGAAGGUCCCCCACAUUGGAACUGAGACACGGUCCAAACUCCUACGGGAGGCAGCAGUGAGGAAUAUUGGUCAAUGGACGAGAGUCUGAACCAGCCAAGUAGCGUGCAGGAUGACGGCCCUAUGGGUUGUAAACUGCUUUUAUAAGGGAAUAAAGUGAGUCUCGUGAGACUUUUUGCAUGUACCUUAUGAAUAAGGACCGGCUAAUUCCGUGCCAGCAGCCGCGGUAAUACGGAAGGUCCGGGCGUUAUCCGGAUUUAUUGGGUUUAAAGGGAGCGUAGGCCGGAGAUUAAGCGUGUUGUGAAAUGUGGAUGCUCAACAUCUGCACUGCAGCGCGAACUGGUUUCCUUGAGUACGCACAAAGUGGGCGGAAUUCGUGGUGUAGCGGUGAAAUGCUUAGAUAUCACGAAGAACUCCGAUUGCGAAGGCAGCUCACUGGAGCGCAACUGACGCUGAAGCUCGAAAGUGCGGGUAUCGAACAGGAUUAGAUACCCUGGUAGUCCGCACGGUAAACGAUGGAUGCCCGCUGUUGGUCUGAAUAGGUCAGCGGCCAAGCGAAAGCAUUAAGCAUCCCACCCGGGGAGUACGCCGGCAACGGUGAAACUCAAAGGAAUUGACGGG